This is a non-coding RNA of Schizosaccharomyces pombe (fission yeast), 870 nucleotides long. The record is from the annotation of a GenBank genome assembly. NCBI's taxonomy places the organism in Eukaryota, Fungi, Ascomycota, Schizosaccharomycetes, Schizosaccharomycetales, Schizosaccharomycetaceae.
GUUAUCACUUAUUUUACCAGUGAAUUAACCAAGAUUCAUGCUUACAUAUUCGAUAAAUCUUCGAUGGACUAACUACACACGUAAUUAACGUUUCGAACCUUGCAACUGACUCUUUUAAAGAACAUUACCUGUCUGUUGGAAGGACAGUUGAUAAUCAAAAAGUAUUUCUAUAAUGAAGAACUGUUUACUUAAAUGAUUUUAAAAUUCAUUGCAACCAUGUCCACACUUAGACAAUGAUCAUUUAACUUUAGCAACUUAAUUAUAGCCAUACUUGUUUUUCGGAUUAUGAACGGUUUAUACGCCGUAAAAGUCCGCAAUUGAAUUUCGUAUCUUCCAGUUAAAAUACAGAAUUUAGGCUGUGCUGCUAACGAAGAAAAGUACUUGCAAUCUAGUAUGAAAAUACGUUAUACAUUAAAAAUAAGUUUCAUUGAGAACUGUUGGCAAUUAAGCAAUUUAUGUUUAAUAGCAAUAUUUGUAAAUGCAAGGGUAACUUACAGAGUUUGAUGCUAUAUAUAUCAUUAUUGAAGGGAUUCUGAAAAAAUAGAACUAAACAGUCAUAAUUGAAUCUUUGCAUACCGCUUUUUUGUCAAGAUAUAUGCCAUCAAAGUACAAAUUAAUUAAUAUUAUAUUAAACAGAAUUAGUGUCGAUUUAUUAUCAUCGAUAAUAUGCGUUCAAAGUCAAUAAAGUAUCUAUAACAAACAAAUUAAGAAUGGUCGUGUAUUAUUUUUCCUUUGCGGGAAUUACCUUUGUUGUUAAAUGUACUCAAGGAACACUAAAGGAAAGAAAGACCUAGCUCAAAAGACAGCAGGAAGGAGCAAACUGUGCGUGACGAUCGCUAAAAUAAAAAAUUAAAUUACUCCUUACCAAAU